AACGAACGCUGGCGGCAGGCUUAACACAUGCAAGUCGAACGCUCGUAGCAAUACGGGAGUGGCGGACGGGUGAGUAACGCGUGGGAACGUGCCCUGAGGUACGGAAUAACUGAGGGAAACUUCAGCUAAUACCGUAUGAGCCCCGAGAGGGGGAAAGAUUUAUCGCCUUGGGAGCGGCCCGCGUCGGAUUAGCUAGUUGGUGGGGUAACGGCCUACCAAGGCUUCGAUCCGUAGCUGGUCUGAGAGGACGAUCAGCCACACUGGGACUGAGACACGGCCCAGACUCCUACGGGAGGCAGCAGUGGGGAAUCUUGCGCAAUGGGGGCAACCUGACGCAGCCAUGCCGCGUGAACGAUGAAGGCCUUAGGGUUGUAAAGUUCUUUUACCGUGACGAUGAUGACGGUAACGGGGAAUAAGACUCCGGCUAACUUCGUGCCAGCA
This 441-nucleotide ribosomal RNA is filed under the name uncultured bacterium. Its description in RNAcentral is "bacterial SSU rRNA". It matches the Rfam family "Bacterial small subunit ribosomal RNA", at positions 29 to 513 of the family's 1533-position model. The record is from RNAcentral.